This is an RNA transcript of Scatophagus argus, 3860 nucleotides long. It is a transcript of the gene named potassium voltage-gated channel interacting protein 4a, with no coding region annotated. The record is from RefSeq and is a predicted model, not a curated record. The transcript has 10 exons. Lineage: Eukaryota; Metazoa; Chordata; Actinopteri; Scatophagidae.
CUCUCUCUCACACACACACACUGCGAAACUUGGGAGUUGAUUGAGCAGCAACUGGUACCAGGCGUUUGGAAGUGAGCGCUGACGAGCUCCUGUGACUGAAAGUAGCGUCUUUCGACUGAGAAAAGUCCACCUGCGGGAAAAACUAUGGACGCCAAGAGAGUGGAGACCAUUUCUGCCCGGGUGGAUGCUGUUGUGUCGGCACCUGGUUACCCUCAGAUUGUCCACAAGCGCGGGGUGAGAGCUCGACUCAUGAGGCUCUUUCCAUGCUCCACAACCAAAAAGUCAUCCUCCAGUAAUCAAAACAGCGUUGAAGAUGAGCUUGAGCUAUCUGCAGUCCGUCAUCGCCCCGAGGGCCUGGAACAGCUUGAAGCCCAGACACGCUUCUCCCGCAAGGAGCUACAGAUCCUUUACCGUGGCUUCAAAAAUGAAUGCCCCAGUGGAGUCGUCAACGAAGAAACUUUUAAAGAGAUCUACUCGCAGUUCUUCCCACAAGGAGAUGCUUCGACAUAUGCGCAUUUCCUGUUCAAUGCAUUUGACACAGAUCACAAUGGCUCUGUGAGUUUUGAGGAUUUUGUUAUGGGCCUUUCGAUCCUCCUGCGAGGCACAAUCCAAGAAAAACUGAACUGGGCUUUCAACCUGUAUGAUAUCAACAAAGACGGAUAUAUCACUAAAGAGGAAAUGCUAGACAUCAUGAAGGCCAUCUACGACAUGAUGGGAAAAUGCACGUACCCUGUCCUCAAAGAGGAGACGCCUCGCCAGCACGUGGAAGUAUUCUUCCAGAAGAUGGAUAAGAAUAAAGAUGGAGUGGUAACCAUAGAUGAGUUCAUCGACUGUUGCCAAAAUGAUGAAAACAUCAUGCGAUCAAUGCACCUGUUUGAAAAUGUUCUUUAACUUUUGGCUGACUGUGGAGGCUUUGGAAGAGACCAUCAUCUUUAGCUUUGCCCAGUAACUGACUUGGACUCAUACCGUGUACAUUGUGCUAUGCAGACUUUUGACCGUAGAUAAAAUAAUGUUCAUUACUGUGGGCCACAAGUAGGAAUAGGCGAUAUGGUGCGAACACUCUGGAGUCGGUUGCCUUUUGAACAUUUUAUUGAGUAAGUGGAAUUGUGUUUCAUACAAACGAAUGGAAAGGAGAGGUGGGGGGGUUUGCUUUUCAAAAUGAAAACAUCUUAACUUCAACAUUGAUUUCCACCAAAAGUCUCUGGAGUGGACUUUCUGUUUGCUGAACACAGAGUUCUGCAAACUGCAUUAGCCUCCGACAUUCUCAACACAAGGCUGAAAAAAAAACACCCAAAACGCUUCCUUCUAUCUCUGUUCGCUUGAUUUAUUUACUGCCAAGUGAGAUCACUGUGACUUUUUACAGCAUCAGAAACAAGCAAACAAACAAACAAACAAAGAAAAAUAGUAACACUGAACAAAAUAUCUGACGUCUCUUUUUUAACGUUCCAGAGUGGCUUUCAAUUCCAGAGUGUUCUCACCGAGACUUAGUGAAGCAUCGCGGUCUGUCUUUUUGCUCUUUGAAGGAAGCGUUUAGAGAAAAACAAAAGAAGAAGAAAAAAAAAAACACAUCUGUUGUACCAUUUUGAAUUGUACAUACUAUAGAUAAAGCAUUAGAUAAGAACUCAAUGAGAUACCUUUUCGACUUUGUUCAUGUUUACUUGCCAACUAGAACGAGACAACACGAGGAUUGUAUUGAUGUCAACAUCGGACCAUAAUAUCGAUGGUUUGUCCACAGAAGCACACACGUAGCCGUAUUUACCUCCAGCUGCCCACACCCAUACAGCGCAGUCUGGUUCCUGCUGUCUACGAUUUCAGCAUUUCUAGGGCCCCAAAUGUGAACAAAAACAAGGCAUGCUGGGUAGAAGUCUCGCUCAUUGACUCUUCCUCUGGCCCAUUGGAAACUGAUGGGUCACUGAGAGAAGAGUGGGAACAUCUAAGUAAGUUAGUGAGUAUUCACAGUGACUUUUUUUUUUUUCUUCUGUUUUCACAAUGACCUGGAUGUGGGAGACAGGAAGUAUCAAAAGCAGCUGGGUACUUAAGGAGCGGCUGUCGCAGAAUAUGACAGUCUGUAGUGUCGUUCUUCAUCCAUAAUAUGUCCGGUUGCAGGACGUGUAACGGACGUACAAACCCCCUCGGUGGGGCAUGUUGGCAUCUGUUGAUUUACUAAAGGACAUUGCAUGUUUUUGUGUUACUGGAGGUAAUAUGUAUAUUUCCAUCAAGAAAGGCAACAAGCCUGCCAUUUUUUCUUCCUUCCUUGAUUUGUGUUUGUGUGCCUUACUGUUUGUAAAAUGUUAUGUUUAUGUCUGGUUGACAAUUCAAAAAUAUGAUAUGGAAGAUGAAAAGUAACUGAUAAAAUAGGGGGAGGGGACAGCACCUACUUCAAAACAUAUCUACAAUAUGCUCUGGUGGAUGAAUGAAACUUUUUGCUGAAUACAAUGAAACGUUUCUACACGUCUUCUGUAAAUAAUAUCUAAAAGCUCCAAAGUCGGCUAUCUCUGACAAAAGUGGGGAAAAAAAAGAGAAUAUACACCUCAGAUUUUCACAUUUGUGUUAACAUUAAAGGUUGUACAAGACUACAUGUUUGCAUAUGGUGAUCAAAACUAUGCUAUAAUAACACCAUUUAGGAAACAAAACAUCACUAUUGCUUGGUUAUUGAUUUUCAGCGAGUAAAUCUGGGAAAUCUAUAUUAAAGUAUCAUGUUGUCUGAAUGUUUACUGGUUUAUUCAAACAUUUGAUUCAGUGAUGGCCACGCGACACAUGCCACAUUACAGAUUUAUACGCUCAAAGCUUUUAAUUUUUGGAGAGGAUGUGAACUUAAAUGUGUCUCGACAUGUAUGGAGAGAAUACGAUGCCAGUGCAUGUUUUAGUUUGAUUGAUACAAAAUGAAGCAGAGACUAAUCAAUUAAAUGUUCAGAGUAUUUCUCCUUUUUUAUCAACCAUUUUCUGUCCACCGUCACAGUCAGUAGUGGUGUACUAUCCAAAAGGAGCAGAUUUUUCUGAUUUGGCAGACAGGAGUCAUCUGGCGCCCUCUUGUGGUAGCAGUAGGAUAAGACACACACUGAGAUUAAAGUAUUUUGCCACCUGGACUGCAUUAAAGACCAUGAAACACAAAAAUGACUAUUGUUUGCUGUGUGUAAAUUUAUUUUAGUGUUCAUUUGUACUUGAAUGUUCAAUUGUAAAAAUUGUCUUCAGACAUUUUCUUCACAAACAGGUCAGAGUUUUCUGUGAAUAUCUGGACAAACAUAUUUGAUUCAUCUUCUGUACUGAAAUAAAAGUAGCUGUCAAGGCUUAAAAAAAAAAAAGAAAGAAAGCAGCCGUAUUUCUGUCAAGAAUUUAAUUUCAGACAAAAUUUGGUUGACUGUUUGGAAUAAAAUACACAUGGCACACGGAGCCCAAGAAUUUCUACAAAUCUCAAAAAAAAAAACGACCGUCCAUCUUUCCAGUUCAAUUGGAAUCACCUCGUCCAACUUCUGAUAGUUAGGUACUCAAAUUACCUGAGUUACGUUUGCAUACAGACCAAAACGAUUAAAACCAGCCGUAGACUUCUUGCACAUGUUUUUUUUUUUUUUUAAAACAACUGUUACAUCAACUUAAGGCAGAUGGUACCGUUUUGAAAACACCAGUUGUGUAUUUCACAUACAGACUUUGUGAAGGCCACACAUAAACAAUAUCACACAAAUGCAAAUGCAUGAAUUACACAGAAGCAAUUUCUUUGAUUAAAAACAAGCUAUACAUUACAGUAUGAUGUUGUUCCUGUGCUGAAACUCAAAGCUGAUGUUACAUAUCAUUACAGACGAUUUUGCAGAGUAUAGUUGGAGUAAAAAGAUUUGACUGAACUUUGAGCUUCCUUCGCACUAAAA